RNAcentral lists this ribosomal RNA (479 nucleotides) under uncultured bacterium. Its description in RNAcentral is "bacterial SSU rRNA". It matches the Rfam family "Bacterial small subunit ribosomal RNA", at positions 29 to 506 of the family's 1533-position model. The record is from RNAcentral.
AUAAACGCUGGCGGCGCGCCUAACACAUGCAAGUCGAGCGAGAAAGCUCCUUCGGGAGUGAGUACAGCGGCGGACGGUUGAGUAACACGUGAGAAUCUACCCUUUAGUGAAGGAUACCCUCGAGAAAUCGAGGUUAAUACUCCAUAAGCCCCCUUGGGGGGAAAGGCGGCCUCUUUGCUGUCGCUAAAGGAUGAGCUUGCGGCCUAUCAGCUAGUUGGUGAGGUAAAGGCUCACCAAGGCAAUGACGGGUAGCCGGCCUGAGAGGGUGUUCGGCCAGAUUGGAACUGAGAUACGGUCCAGACUCCUACGGGAGGCAGCAGUGAGGAAUAUUGCACAAUGGGCGAAAGCCUGAUGCAGCGACGCCGCGUGGAGGAUGAAGGUCUUCGGAUUGUAAACUUCUGUUAAGUGGGAAGAAAAGCUCGUCUCUAAUACAGACGGGUUCUGACGGUACCAUUAGAGAAAGCACCGGCUAACUUCGU